RNAcentral lists this ribosomal RNA (257 nucleotides) under uncultured bacterium. Its description in RNAcentral is "partial 16S ribosomal RNA". It matches the Rfam family "Bacterial small subunit ribosomal RNA", at positions 96 to 354 of the family's 1533-position model. The record is from RNAcentral.
UGGCGGACGGGUGAGUAACGCGUGGGGAACCUGCCCUGUACAGGGGGAUAACACUUAGAAAUAGGUGCUAAUACCGCAUAAGCGCACAGUAUCGCAUGAUACAGUGUGAAAAACUCCGGUGGUACAGGAUGGACCCGCGUCUGAUUAGCUGGUUGGCGGGGUAACGCCCACCAAGGCGACGAUCAGUAGCCGGCCUGAGAGGGUGAACGGCCACAUUGGGACUGAGACACGGCCCAAACUCCUACGGAAGGCAGCAG